AGAGUUUGAUCAUGGCUCAGAGCGAACGUUGGCGGCGCGCCUAACACAUGCAAGUCGAGCGUGAAAGUCCCUUCGGGGAUGAGUAAAGCGGCGCACGGGUGAGUAACACGUGGGUAAUCUACCCUAGAGUCUGGAAUAACCUGUCGAAAGACGGGCUAAUACCGGAUAGAGCGAUGGCAGUCGUAAGGACUGUUUCGGGAAAGGGAGGUCGCAAGAUCCCUUGCUCUAGGUUGAGCCUGCGGCCCAUUAGCUAGUUGGUGAGGUAAAAGCUUACCAAGGCAUUGAUGGGUAGCUGGUCUUAGAGGACGACCAGCCACACUGGAACUGAAACACGGUCCAGACUCCUACGGGAGGCAGCAGUGGGGAAUAUUGCGCAAUGGGCGGAAGCCUGACGCAGCGACGCCGCGUGAGUGAAGAAGGCCUUCGGGUUGUAAAGCUCUGUCGGAGGGGACGAAAAGCUUGGUGGUUAACAGCCAUUAGGUCUGACGGUACCCUCAAAGAAG
This 503-nucleotide ribosomal RNA is filed under the name uncultured Polyangiaceae bacterium. RNAcentral's name for it is "bacterial SSU rRNA". It matches the Rfam family "Bacterial small subunit ribosomal RNA", at positions 8 to 490 of the family's 1533-position model. The record is from RNAcentral. Lineage: Bacteria; Pseudomonadati; Myxococcota; Polyangiales; Polyangiaceae.